RNAcentral lists this unclassified non-coding RNA (2362 nucleotides) under Equine rotavirus. RNAcentral's name for it is "4". Lineage: Riboviria; Orthornavirae; Duplornaviricota; Resentoviricetes; Reovirales; Sedoreoviridae. The record is from RNAcentral.
GGCUAUAAAAUGGCUUCGCUCAUUUAUAGACAGUUACUUAGUAAUUCUUACGCAGUAGACUUGUCAGAUGAAACACAAGAAAUUGGAGCAUCAAGAAACCAAAAUGUAACCGUUAAUCCAGGCCCAUUUGCACAGACAAAUUAUGCACCAGUAAGUUGGGGGCCUGGUGAAGUUAGAGAUUCUACAACAGUAGAACCACUACUAGAUGGACCAUAUCAACCAACAACAUUUAACCCACCAGUAGAUUACUGGAUGCUGUUAGCACCAACAGAUCGUGGAGUAGUAGUAGAAGGAACAAAUAAUACAAAUAGAUGGCUUGCAAUAAUACUAGUAGAACCAGAUGUACCAACAGAAGAAAGGACGUAUACAUUGUUUGGUCAACAAGCGCAAAUAACAGUAGCAAAUGAUUCACAAUUAAAAUGGAAAUUUAUAGUUGUCAGUAAGCAAACAUUAGAUGGUGCAUACGCACAAUAUGGACCAUUGUUAUCAGCAACAAAAUUGUACGCAGUAAUGAAACAUAGUGGUAGAAUAUAUACAUACAGUGGAGAAACGCCAAACGCUACAACCGCAUAUUAUUCAACAACAAAUUAUGAUACUGUUAACAUGAAAGCAUAUUGUGAUUUUUACAUUAUACCAAGAACACAAGAGUCGAAAUGUACAGAGUACAUUAAUACAGGACUACCACCAAUACAAAAUACAAGAAAUGUAAUACCUGUAUCAAUAACAUCUAGGGACAUACAAUAUACAAGAGCACAGGUAAAUGAAGAUAUUCUUAUUUCUAAAGCGUCAUUAUGGAAGGAAAUGCAGUAUAAUAGAGAUAUUAUAAUAAGAUUCAAAUUCGCGAACUCAAUCGUCAAAUCAGGAGGUUUAGGUUAUAAGUGGUCUGAAAUUUCGUUCAAACCAGCGAACUAUCAGUAUACGUAUAUAAGAGAUGAUGAAGAAGUAACAGCGCACACUACGUGCUCAGUUAAUGGGGUUAACGAAUUCAGCUACAGUGGUGGAUCACUACCAACUGAUUUCGCUGUAUCAAAGUAUGAAGUAAUAAAAGAGAAUUCGUUCGUCUACGUAGACUAUUGGGAUGAUUCACAAGCUUUCAGAAACAUGGUAUAUGUACGAUCUUUAGCUGCAAAUUUAAAUUCAGUAAUGUGUACAGGUGGAGAUUUCAGUUUUGCUUUACCAGUAGGACAUUACCCAGUUAUGACGGGUGGUGCGGUAACAUUACAUUCAGCAGGGGUAACUCUGUCAACGCAAUUUACUGAUUUUGUAUCAUUAAAUUCACUAAGAUUUAGAUUUAGCUUAUCAGUUGAAGAACCGCCAUUUUCUAUUAUCAGGACAAGAGUAAGUGGAUUAUAUGGAUUACCAGCGACAAAACCUAAUAAUUCACAAGAAUACUACGAAAUUGCGGGAAGAUUUUCGUUGAUAUCACUAGUGCCAUCAAAUGACGACUAUCAAACACCUAUAAUGAAUUCAGUAACAGUUAGACAAGAUCUGGAGCGGCAAUUGAGCGAAUUGAGAGAUGAGUUCAACAGUCUCUCACAACAAAUAGCGAUGUCACAGCUAAUAGAUUUAGCGUUAUUACCAUUAGAUAUGUUUUCAAUGUUUUCAGGUAUUAAAAGUACAAUAGAUGCUGCGAAAUCAAUGGUUACCAAUGUGAUGAAAAAGUUUAAGAAAUCAAGCUUAGCUAGUUCAGUAUCAACACUAACUGAUUCACUAUCAGAUGCCGCAUCAUCAGUGUCACGAAGUUCAUCAAUUAGAUCUAUCGGUUCAACAGCCUCUGCAUGGACAGAUGUGUCCAUAACAGCAUCAGAUGUAAGCACGGCAACAAAUUCAAUAGCGACACAAACGUCAACAAUAAGCAAAAGGUUACGGUUAAAAGAGAUGGCAACACAAACUGAUGGAAUGAACUUUGAUGAUAUUUCGGCUGCAGUCCUAAAAACAAAAAUAGAUAAAUCAACACAAAUUACGGCAGACACAUUGCCAGAGAUGAUUACGGAAGCGUCAGAGAAAUUUAUUCCAAAUAGGACAUAUAGAAUAAUUAACAAUGAUGAAGUAUUUGAAACAAGCAUUGACGGGAAGUAUUUCGCUUAUAGAGUUGAUACAUUCGAGGAAAUACCAUUUGAUGUACAGAAAUUUGCAGAUUUAGUGACAGACUCUCCAGUAAUAUCAGCAAUAAUUGAUUUUAAAACUUUAAAAAAUUUGAAUGAUAAUUAUGGAAUUACCAAACAGCAAGCAUUUAAUUUGCUGAGAUCAGAUCCAAAAGUAUUACGAGAAUUUGUCAAUCAAAAUAAUCCAAUAAUUAAGAACAGAAUAGAGAAUUUAAUUAUGCAAUGUAGAUUAUAAGUGCCUCCUCCUGGUUGUGACC